This is a non-coding RNA of Ascaris suum (pig roundworm), 195 nucleotides long. NCBI's taxonomy places the organism in Eukaryota, Metazoa, Nematoda, Chromadorea, Rhabditida, Ascarididae. The record is from Rfam.
UAGUCCAAUUCUGUGAAGAGUCAUGAGAGGAGUAGCAUAAGAGGGAGGCGUCGGCCAACAGUGAAAUACCUCCACUUUCAUCGAUUCUUUACUUAUUCGGUAAGACGAGAACUGGGCUAUCCGAUUCUUCAUUCCGGUGUUAAAUGCAGCCACUUAAUGACCGUUCGACUAACGCCGAAGAGAAUAUCAGGUGGA